CUGUUGAGAUUCUAUACAGGCAUUCAUCCUUCUUGGGAAGUGGAGCUCGCUUCUUUCAAUUGAGUUUUUCUGGUCUCGCAUUAAAUUUGACUUGCUAGUUAGUUUAAAUCAUCAGAUACAACUCUAUGGUUGGUACUUGAAAGGAGUUCAAGGCCAGCAACUGAAAAAAUUUCAGCUUGAAGUUUAAGGGUAUCUUAAACAAUCUGAAUGAGAUACUCGAUGUAUUUCAGAUAUAGGCAUCAGUUAUUGAAAGUAUGAGGGCUUUUUUAUUUAUUCUUGUAAAAAGAAAGUUUUUGCCUUCUGUGUUUAAUUUCAACUUUGUAACUGACAGUUGAGUUUUCGCUUAGUGAUUUGAUUUCACCUGGACAUGGUCUCAUGGAUGUAGACUAAGAUAGAUCUUAGUUGAACCAUGUAAAAAUCCUUGUGUCUUCUUUACUUUCUGCACUUAAUUUGUGCUUUGUUGA
Molecule: long non-coding RNA, 464 nt
Organism: Mangifera indica (mango)
Lineage: Eukaryota; Viridiplantae; Streptophyta; Magnoliopsida; Sapindales; Anacardiaceae
Exons: 2
Source: RefSeq, a predicted model, not a curated record